Molecule: ribosomal RNA, 171 nt
Filed under: uncultured bacterium
Lineage: Bacteria
Description: partial 16S ribosomal RNA
Rfam family: Bacterial small subunit ribosomal RNA
Source: RNAcentral
CCUACGGGAGGCAGCAGUGGGGAAUAUUGCACAAUGGGCGCAAGCCUGAUGCAGCGACGCCGCGUGGGGGAUGAAGGCCUUCGGGUUGUAAAGCCCUUUUCUGCGUGACGAGGAAGGACGGUAGCGCAGGAAUAAGUCUCGGCUAACUACGUGCCAGCAGCCGCGGUAAUA